Molecule: long non-coding RNA, 298 nt
Filed under: Homo sapiens (human)
Lineage: Eukaryota; Metazoa; Chordata; Mammalia; Primates; Hominidae
Description: HSALNT0129415
Source: RNAcentral
UGAUCAGCCGCUUCCUGAUGAGAUCUCAGGAGUGAGCUCGAGCAUGCGCAUUAAGAAACAAAAUGGCCGAGUUUAACUGGUAUGUGAACGUUUUAAGAUUUGACUCAGGGGCAUAAAGGCAGAAAAAGAGACUGAGGCAAGUUUUAGGGCAGGAGUGGAAGGCAAGAAUUGAUGUUGCUGCAGACCUGUACGGAUUUGCUGCUGGUUACAUCUACUACAAUACUGCAGAUACAGUAUAACAUUGGUAUUGCUGGUAUGAUUCCUCUCCCUUAGGCUUUCGUAUCAGGAUGAUCUUGGC